This 497-nucleotide ribosomal RNA is filed under the name uncultured bacterium. RNAcentral's name for it is "partial 16S ribosomal RNA". It matches the Rfam family "Bacterial small subunit ribosomal RNA", at positions 28 to 507 of the family's 1533-position model. The record is from RNAcentral.
GAUGAACGCUGGCGGCGUGCCUAAUACAUGCAAGUCGAGCGAACAGACGAGGAGCUUGCUCCUCUGACGUUAGCGGCGGACGGGUGAGUAACACGUGGAUAACCUACUUAUAAUACGGGUAAAAUUUGGGAAAACGGGAUCAAAUCCGGUAUAAUAUAUUGAACCCCAGGGUUCAAUGGUAAAAUUCGGUUUUGUGGUCUCUUAUAGAUGGUUCCCCGCCGCAUUGUCUAGUUGUUAAGUUAACGGGUUACGAAGGCAAGGAUGCGUAGCCGACCUCACGGGGUGAUCGGCCACACUGGAACUGAGCCACGGUCCAGAGUCCUACGGGAGGCAGCAGUCGGGAAUCUUCCGCAAUGGGCGAAAGCCUGACGGAGCAACGUCGCGUGAGUGAUGAAGGUCUUCGGAUCGUAAAACUCUGUUAUUAGGGAAGAACAAAUGUGUAAGUAACUAUGCACGUCUUGACGGUAACUAAUAAGAAAGCCACGGCUAACUACGUG